UCGAGAGGCUUCGGCAAUGGGGGAAACCCUGACCGAGCGACGCCGCGUGGGUGAUGAAGAUUCUCGGAUCGUAAAACCCUGUCAGGUGGGAUGAAAAACCAUUCGGUUAAUACCCGAGUGGCUUGACAGUACCACCAGAGGAAGCUCCGGCCAACUCCGUGCCAGCAGCCGCGGUAACACGGGGGGAGCAAGCGUUGUUCGGAUUCAUUGGGCGUAAAGAGCUCGUAGGCCGCUCUGUAAGUUAGAGGUGAAAGCCCGGGGCUCAACCCCGGAAUUGCCUUUAAGACUGCAUCGCUUGAAUCGCGGAGAGGUGAGUGGAAUUCCGAGUGUAGAGGUGAAAUUCGUAGAUAUUCGGAAGAACACCAGUGGCGAAGGCGGCUCACUGGACGCGUAUUGACGCUGAGGUACGAAAGCGUGGGGAGCAAACAGGAUUAGAUACCCCUGUAGUCCCUGAGCGGGCUGGCAAGGCGCAU
Molecule: ribosomal RNA, 473 nt
Filed under: uncultured bacterium
Lineage: Bacteria
Description: bacterial SSU rRNA
Rfam family: Bacterial small subunit ribosomal RNA
Source: RNAcentral